GGCGAACGGGUGAGUAACACGUGAGCAACCUGCCCUGGACUCUGGGAUAAGCGCUGGAAACGGCGUCUAAUACUGGAUAUGAGCUCCUAUCGCAUGGUGGGGGUUGGAAAGAUUUUUCGGUCUGGGAUGGGCUCGCGGCCUAUCAGCUUGUUGGUGAGGUAAUGGCUCACCAAGGCGUCGACGGGUAGCCGGCCUGAGAGGGUGACCGGCCACACUGGGACUGAGACACGGCCCAGACUCCUACGGGAGGCAGCAGUGGGGAAUAUUGCACAAUGGGCGGAAGCCUGAUGCAGCAACGCCGCGUGAGGGAUGACGGCCUUCGGGUUGUAAACCUCUUUUAGCAGGGAAGAAGCGAGAGUGACGGUACCUGCAGAAAAAGCGCCGGCUAACUACGUGCCAGCAGCCGCGGUAAUACGUAGGGCGCAAGCGUUAUCCGGAAUUAUUGGGCGUAAAGAGCUCGUAGGCGGUUUGUCGCGUCUGCUGUGAAAUCCCGAGGCUCAACCUCGGGCCUGCAGUGGGUACGGGCAGACUAGAGUGCGGUAGGGGAGAUUGGAAUUCCUGGUGUAGCGGUGGAAUGCGCAGAUAUCAGGAGGAACACCGAUGGCGAAGGCAGAUCUCUGGGCCGUAACUGACGCUGAGGAGCGAAAGGGUGGGGAGCAAACAGGCUUAGAUACCCUGGUAGUCCACCCCGUAAACGUUGGGAACUAGUUGUGGGGACCAUUCCACGGUUUCCGUGACGCAGCUAACGCAUUAAGUUCCCCGCCUGGGGAGUACGGCCGCAAGGCUAAAACUCAAAGGAAUUGACGGGGACCCGCACAAGCGGCGGAGCAUGCGGAUUAAUUUCGAUGCAACGCGAAGAACCUUACCAAGGCUUGACAUAUACGAGAACGGGCCAGAAAUGGUCAACUCUUUGGACACUCGUAAACAGGUGGUGCAUGGUUGUCGUCAGCUCGUGUCGUGAGAUGUUGGGUUAAGUCCCGCAACGAGCGCAACCCUCGUUCUAUGUUGCCAGCACGUAAUGGUGGGAACUCAUGGGAUACUGCCGGGGUCAACUCGGAGGAAGGUGGGGAUGACGUCAAAUCAUCAUGCCCCUUAUGUCUUGGGCUUCACGCAUGCUACAAUGGCCGGUACAAAGGGCUGCAAUACCGUGAGGUGGAGCGAAUCCCAAAAAGCCGGUCCCAGUUCGGAUUGAGGUCUGCAACUCGACCUCAUGAAGUCGGAGUCGCUAGUAAUCGCAGAUCAGCAACGCUGCGGUGAAUACGUUCCCGGGUCUUGUACACACCGCCCGUCAAGUCAUGAAAGUC
This 1304-nucleotide ribosomal RNA is filed under the name Microbacterium testaceum. RNAcentral describes it as "bacterial SSU rRNA". It matches the Rfam family "Bacterial small subunit ribosomal RNA", at positions 97 to 1412 of the family's 1533-position model. The record is from RNAcentral. Lineage: Bacteria; Bacillati; Actinomycetota; Actinomycetes; Micrococcales; Microbacteriaceae.